GGUUCAGGAUGAACGCUAGCGACAGGCUAACACAUGCAAGUCGAGGGGCAUCACGGGAGUAGCAAUACAACUGGUGGCGACCGGCGCACGGGUGAGUAACGCGUAUGCAACCUACCUAUCAGAGGGGAAUAACCGGCGAAAGUCGGACUAAUACCGCAUAAAACAGGGGCACCGCAUGGUGAUAUUUGUUAAAGAAAUUCGCUGAUAGAUGGGCAUGCGUUCCAUUAGGUAGUUGGUGAGGUAACGGCUCACCAAACCGACGAUGGAUAGGGGAACUGAGAGGUUGGUCCCCCACACUGGUACUGAGACACGGACCAGACUCCUACGGGAGGCAGCAGUGAGGAAUAUUGGUCAAUGGGCGGGAGCCUGAACCAGCCAAGUCGCGUGAAGGAAGAAGGAUCUAUGGUUCGUAAACUUCUUUUGCAGGGGAAUAAAGUGCAGGACGUGUCCUGUUUUGUAUGUACCCUGAGAAUAAGGAUCGGCUAACUCCGUGCCAGCCGCCGC
RNAcentral lists this ribosomal RNA (504 nucleotides) under uncultured bacterium. RNAcentral's name for it is "bacterial SSU rRNA". It matches the Rfam family "Bacterial small subunit ribosomal RNA", at positions 21 to 518 of the family's 1533-position model. The record is from RNAcentral.